GAUGAACGCUGGCGGCGUGCCUAAUACAUGCAAGUCGAGCGAACAGACGAGGAGCUUGCUCCUCUCACGUUAGCGGCGGACGGGUGAGUAACACGUGGAUAACCUACCUAUAAGACUGGGAUAACUUCGGGAAACCGGAGCUAAUACCGGAUAAUAUAUUGAACCGCAUGGUUCAAUAGUGAAAGACGGUUUUGCUGUAACUUAUAGAUGGAUCCGCGCCGCAUUAGCUAGUUGGUAAGGUAACGGCUUACCAAGGCAACGAUGCGUAGCCGAACUGAGAGGGUGAUAGGCCACACGGGAACUGGGACACGGUCCAGACGCCUACGGGAGGCAGCAGUAGGGAACCGGCCGCAAUGGUCGAAAGCUUUACGGAGCAACGCCGCGUGAGUGAUGAAGGUGUUCGGUUCGUAAAACUCUGUUAUGAGGUAAGAACAACUUUGUAAGUAACUAUGCACGUCUUGACGGUACCGAAUCAGAAAGCCACGGCUAACUACGUG
Molecule: ribosomal RNA, 497 nt
Filed under: uncultured bacterium
Lineage: Bacteria
Description: partial 16S ribosomal RNA
Rfam family: Bacterial small subunit ribosomal RNA
Source: RNAcentral